ACUCCUACGGGAGGCAGCAGUGGGGAAUAUUGGACAAUGGACCAAAAGUCUGAUCCAGCAAUUCUGUGUGUUUGAUGAAGGCCUUCGGGUUGUAAAGAACUUUCAGUGGGGAAGAAGCAAGUGACGGUACCCACAGAAGAAGCGACGGCUAAAUACGUGCCAGCAGCCGCGGUAAUACGUAUGUCGCAAGCGUUAUCCGGAAUUAUUGGGCAUAAAGGGCGUCUAGGCGGUCUAAUAAGUCUGAUGUGAAAAUGCGGGGCUCAACUCCGUAUUGCGUUGGAAACUGUUAGACUAGAGUUUUGGAGAGGUAGGCGGAACUACAAGUGUAGAGGUGAAAUUCGUAGAGAUUUGUAGGAAUGCCGAUGACGAAGGUAGCUUACUGGACAAAUACUGACGCUGAAGCGCGAAAAGCUAGGGGAGC
This 421-nucleotide ribosomal RNA is filed under the name uncultured bacterium. Its description in RNAcentral is "bacterial SSU rRNA". It matches the Rfam family "Bacterial small subunit ribosomal RNA", at positions 335 to 769 of the family's 1533-position model. The record is from RNAcentral.